AGUCUUCGGACCUUUGUGAAGGUGCUGCAUGGUUGUCGUCAGCUCGUGCCGUGAGGUGUCGGCUUAAGUGCCAUAACGAGCGCAACCCUCGCCGCCAGUUACUAACAGUUAAAGCUGAGGACUCUGGCGGGACUGCCAUCGUAAGAUGUGAGGAAGGUGGGGAUGACGUCAAAUCAGCACGGCCCUUACGUCCGGGGCUACACACGUGUUACAAUGGGCGGUACAGAAGGCAGCUACCUGGCGACAGGAUGCCAAUCCCUAAAGCCGCUCUCAGUUCGGACUGGAGUCUGCAACCCGACUCCACGAAGCUGGAUUCGCUAGUAAUCGCGCAUCAGCCACGGCGCGGUGAAUACGUUCCCGGGCCUUGUACACACCGCCCGUCAAGCCAUGAAAGCCGGGGGUACCUGAAGUGCGUAACCGCAAGGAGCGCCCUAGGGUAAAACCGGUAAUUGGGGCUAAGUCGUAACAAGGUAGCCGUACCGGAAGGUGCGGCUGGAACACCUCCUUUCUGGAGC
This 515-nucleotide ribosomal RNA is filed under the name Phocaeicola plebeius. Its description in RNAcentral is "bacterial SSU rRNA". It matches the Rfam family "Bacterial small subunit ribosomal RNA", at positions 1014 to 1533 of the family's 1533-position model. The record is from RNAcentral. Lineage: Bacteria; Pseudomonadati; Bacteroidota; Bacteroidia; Bacteroidales; Bacteroidaceae.